AGUUUUGCGCAGUGGUGAUAUCGUAACCAAUGAGCUUUAUCUUAGGUGCGAUUAUUGCUGGUUUAAAACCUAUUAAGACAUAUUAUAUACUUAUAUUGCAAAAAACUAAUUAUUUAG
Molecule: small nuclear RNA, 117 nt
Organism: Rhopalosiphum maidis (corn leaf aphid)
Lineage: Eukaryota; Metazoa; Arthropoda; Insecta; Hemiptera; Aphididae
Product: U4 spliceosomal RNA
Exons: 1
Source: RefSeq, a predicted model, not a curated record